CGCCUUGAAUUGGCCGCGAACCGCCCUAUAUUGUCAAUGCCGGUCAGCCGGCUAUGGCGAUAAACGGCUCGUGCAAUAAGCGAAGCGGACCCGGGGGCAGUACCCGGCGCCUCCACCAAACCUCUUUCCCGCCGCCUCGGCGCGGGCUUCAUGGGGGCGAAACAGGAUCGACGCGCGUGUAAAGACUUGCUUUUCGCCCGGCAUGGUACCGCCGUUAUCGGGCCGAUUCGAUAGAUGCCAACGACAACGAUUUGGCACUCGCUGCCUAGCCUGGCUGGGCAAGCGCGGUUCGGGGGGCGCCGGGCAACAGAAGCCCCCCACU
RNAcentral lists this transfer-messenger RNA (322 nucleotides) under Defluviicoccus sp. It matches the Rfam family "Alphaproteobacteria transfer-messenger RNA". Rfam says of the family: Bacterial tmRNA, also known as 10Sa RNA or SsrA, is named for its dual tRNA and mRNA-like properties. Its role is to liberate the mRNA from a stalled ribosome. Lineage: Bacteria; Pseudomonadati; Pseudomonadota; Alphaproteobacteria; Rhodospirillales; Rhodospirillaceae. The record is from RNAcentral.